Molecule: ribosomal RNA, 421 nt
Filed under: uncultured Bacteroidota bacterium
Lineage: Bacteria; Pseudomonadati; Bacteroidota
Description: bacterial SSU rRNA
Rfam family: Bacterial small subunit ribosomal RNA
Source: RNAcentral
UAUGAAUAAGGACCGGCUAAUUCCGUGCCAGCAGCCGCGGUAAUACGGAAGGUCCGGGCGUUAUCCGGAUUUAUUGGGUUUAAAGGGAGCGUAGGCCGGAGAUUAAGCGUGUUGUGAAAUGUAGACGCUCAACGUCUGCACUGCAGCGCGAACUGGUUUCCUUGAGUACGCACAAAGUGGGCGGAAUUCGUGGUGUAGCGGUGAAAUGCUUAGAUAUCACGAAGAACUCCGAUUGCGAAGGCAGCUCACUGGAGCGCAACUGACGCUGAAGCUCGAAAGUGCGGGUAUCGAACAGGAUUAGAUACCCUGGUAGUCCGCACGGUAAACGAUGGAUGCCCGCUGUUGGUCUGAAUAGGUCAGCGGCCAAGCGAAAGCAUUAAGCAUCCCACCUGGGGAGUACGCCGGCAACGGUGCAACUCAA